Non-coding RNA from Anas platyrhynchos (mallard), 3914 nucleotides. The record is from RefSeq and is a predicted model, not a curated record. NCBI's taxonomy places the organism in Eukaryota, Metazoa, Chordata, Aves, Anseriformes, Anatidae.
UAGAGUCUGCUCCUACAGAUGGUGCCAUACCCAUGCUGGGAACUUCAUUUGGUCAGGCUGAUAAAAGCAAGAAAAAGGCAGAUAAAAUCACUGAGGAAUGGACCAGGCUGAGAGGUUGGCUCUGUUUCUCCUUUUGCCCACAGCAGAGAAAGUCACAUAAGGCAUUUGAGAUCUGAGAUGAAGUAUGCUUCAACCUGCAGGAGGGCUGCAUGGCCAGAGGGCACUCGGUGUGAUGCACAUCCCUCAGCAUGCACUUCACAGCCUGGAGAAGUGAGCAAGGAGCUCACAUUCACAGCUGGAAAUCAUCAGCCUCCGUUAGCAAAAUCAGGAUAUCUCAGGCCCUCUGGAUGGCCUGAAUCAAAACACGUCACCUCCUUCCAGAUCUGUUCUGUUGCUGGUUAAAGGGGAAAGUGAUACUGACAUGCUUGGACUAGUCACUGGUACCAGAGUCGUUCAGUGAUGGGUUUUCGGCUUGAGGCAAAAAUGCAAGCAUUCUCCAGGGAGACAGAGCUGUUGUACAGAAUCGUGUCCUCCUCACAACCAUUAGAACACAAUCCCCAAAACACAGCCAGGAAUACUUCCUUUGACUUAACAGCCUACCUCCAAGGUCAUGCCAUCAAGAGGGAGAAGUGAUGACUCAGAUGCCAUCGGUGAGUUUAACACCCUGUCCUGGUCUGCUGUUAUUUAUUGCUGGUUUUAUAGCAGGGCCUCAGUGCAUGAAGUCUUGUACAAACACAUAGUGAGGACAGCCCUGGCGGAGGGCUUACAGUUGAUAAAAGGGGGCUGCAAACUGUGCCUCAUGCGUUGCUAGUGGUGUGCCAACCACCUCCAGGGUGAACACAGGAGCAUCUCCCUGCAUUUUGGGGGAGAUGCUUCCUUCAGGCACCAAGAAAUGUCCAGCAUGGGCCUCAUAUUUGUGCAAUGGUUAGUCUUCAGCUAGGGCGUCUUUUGCUCUGUGUAGUGACCUGAAGUUUGAUGACUCUGGUCUGAAUGUUAUGGCUGGUGGUGAAGGACAUGCUCAAGGUCACACUGAACAUUAGGGGCUCAGUCAGGAAUAAAACCCAGACUUCUUCAGUCCCGUCUAGAUGCCAAGGCAAAUGGGUGCUGGAGGAAGCAAGUGGCCCCUAAUAAACAUCGCCCUUAUGAUAUUCUCACAGCAUUUGAAAGGCUUCCUCAUGAAUAGAUUAGAAAAUGUGCAGAAUCAGAUCUGCAGCUAGCACCAUCAGGAAAAACAGCUUCUUUUGAAUUGAUUUAGCUGUCAAAAUUUGACACCAGUCUACACCAACUGAGGAUUCAGCCCCCUAUUCUUGGCAAGUGAUUUAUAAUGAAAGAAUGUGGAUACACUUAAGCAGCUUGCUCUUUUUUAUUUUAAGAUCAUGAUUCGUUCCAGAUUGGUAAUUAAAUUUAGUUCUUUCGGUGAUAGGAACUGCUCUGACAGCUGCAAAUCAUAAUAAUAUGCAUUUGUGUACGUUUGUGUCUACAUCCUUGUGCAUUUUUGCUGUUGUAGCAACGAAUACAGUCACUGACUUAAGAACAUUACACGGUAUUUUGAAAUUGUUCUUGCAAACAGCCAGUGCUUGCAUGAUCAGGGCAGAGUGGUGCUCAGCUAAAGACACCUUUGCCUGCCUCCCAGAAAGACCUGUCUCCAAACAGCAACAUCUCCACCUAUGAUGUUGGUUGGGUCAGCCCCAAAUUAGCCCAGCCACAACCCCCAAAUUAAGUGCUUAUUUGUCCUGCUGAGCUGCCUUCUUGCUGCAACGUGUGCCCCACACUGCUCUGUGCCUUGUGGGGCUGUCCCAGCACACUGGGACUGUUCCCCUGGGGAUGGGUGGAGGUGGCAGGAAGGGAUGGGAGAGUUAUUAUCAGCUGAGUAAUGUAAUCCAAAUCUUCCCCGGAGCUGUGGCAGAUUUCUAAGUGAAAGCAAAAGAAAUGCUCCAGGCAAUGCAUCCUGCUGGGGCAGCUUGUCCCAGCUGGGAGCACCAGCUAACCAGGAUGAUUUCUCAGUGGGGGCAAGGAAAAGGUUUGGAGCAGCUCCCAAGCUAGAGCUUGCGCUCAUCCUGAUGUGAAGGCAUGCCUGAAAGAACCCACCCCCCUAUUCAAAAGUGUGCUGCAAGGCUUAAAUUUGCAUUUAGAUGGCAAUCACAAAUAGAAAUGCCACCAAGAUGUUUCUUUAGUUCUGGAAAUUCAGCAAAAUUCAAAGCUGUUUUUAUGAUGCUGCCAGACCCAUUUCCAUUGAUGGGAAUUAAUUUUUCCCAAAAACUGAAUGGCGUGAUAGCGUGCCAGUUUUGAUUCUCCUAGCUGGUGGCUCUGGUUGCUGAGUCUGGUCUCUGGGCAUGCAGCAUGGAUCCUCCACAGCUUCACAUGUGGCUCCUGUGACUGAUGGCCACGUCCUUGAACCCCACAUAACCCGGUCUUCUAGUCUCUGAUAGAUCCGUAAGAUAAAAUCCAGCUUCACUGGGAUUUAUUUUCAUCCCUCUAAUGAAAGUGUUUUGAUUCGUUUUGCAGCAUGGUUUAGAGAGCAGGAAAUUUAAAACCAGCUCAAUGUGCAGUAGGCUUGAACAUGGAGAUUUGCUGUCAGCCCACCCAACGGGGGUGCAGCUUAGUGCAUGAUGGAAAAGGCGGUUUGGGGGGUUCAGAAGCAAUUUCCUCACUCUACCACCAACUCAGUCCUCAAAGAGCAGCAAGCUGUCUACUGUACCUCUUCCUGAAUGUGGGUGAGAGUCUGUCAAUCAAUUUGAUAAUCCCCAAAACUUGUCUGAGAUAUGACUCCAGGCUCAGGAAAUAAAAUUUAAAAAGUCGACAUUACGGUAAAAGGAAAAUUAUCAGCUGUAAUUUUCAGUAGAGUCGAAAUAGGAAAACUGCAGCAUUUACAAUUUGUGUAAAAGAAACUGGUAAUCUUUAACACUUGUGUUAUCUUGUGUAUUCCUCAGUUCAGGCCAUACAUGUCACUGUUAUAGGAUUAGCCUCAACAAGUCACAGAGCCAGGGACACAGAGCUGAGCCUUAGAACUGACAGGUGGUAGAUGAGGGAGAAUGUAUAGGUGUAAAGGGAGAAUGUAAAGGUGGUACGAGGCAAUCUUACUGUCCUGUGCCUUCACCAGCACCUCCCUGCCAGCUGUCACCACUGGCAAAUGUGGAAUAGCUUUUGAUAUCUUGUUUUUCUCUGUCGGAGUAUCAGCUGAGUUUGGAUGGAGUUUAGAAAGCUAACAGGAAUGCUGGUUUUAAUUUUAGGGGAGAAAAAACAACCCUUCUGUGCUUCAGUUUGUUUUCCAACUUUCAAGACAGAGACCACAUCCUCCCUGGUUUACUGCUUCUCCUUAUCUGACAGACGGGGUCAUGCUGCAGGGAUAAAACAAUAUACUCUCAAUGCAGAGGUCUCGCAUGUUUAUUGGGAAUAACUUCAUCCCUAGCCGACUCAGUGUGUUUUUAAAAAACAUCUUUUUUUAAAUAGUUUCUUUGAAGGCUAGUAUUGGGGUUGUGUCCCUUAAUUCUUCAGAGAAAAGUGACCUUUAAGCCUCCAAUUUUGAAAACCGUUCCAAACCAUGGAGCCCCGAGUGCCAAAACCUUUUCACAUUCAAAUCUCUUUCAAGCAGAACAGGGAGAGGAAGACUGGAGUUAGUGCACUCAAAUGACCUCAUUUGCCACAUCAGAGCACAGAGAAUUUAUUCUAUAAAGAGCAUCCGUAUGUGUGCAGUAUCCAAGAUGCCUUGUUAGCCAGUUGCUUCAAUAUUGCUACUAAUAAGCCAGCUUUUAUAUGGUAUGGUUUGGCUGGAAUCAAACAUAUGAAUUCUACAUCAUACAAAAUUUUGAGGUCCUGAUCAGCAAAGCCACUUCAGCACAUGUGUAGGUUCAAGCACACAAGCAUGGAGAUCAUCAGAACUUUCCACCAAAAAAUGUUUUCCAGUGGAAAAUUAG